Molecule: non-coding RNA, 101 nt
Organism: Melanopsichium pennsylvanicum
Lineage: Eukaryota; Fungi; Basidiomycota; Ustilaginomycetes; Ustilaginales
Source: the annotation of a GenBank genome assembly
UCCCAGUUAGUACAAUGGUUAGUAUAGGGCACUCUCACUAUGCAAGCUUCGUGCAGGUUUGUGACACUGCUCAGAUCAGGGUUCGAUUCCCUGGCCGGGAA